UCGGGAAUUUUGGGCAAUGGGGGAAACCCUGACCCAGCAACGCCGCGUGAAGGAUGAAGUAUUUCGGUAUGUAAACUUCGAAAGAAUAGGAAGAAUAAAUGACGGUACUAUUUAUAAGGUCCGGCUAACUACGUGCCAGCAGCCGCGGUAAUACGUAGGGACCAAGCGUUGUUCGGAUUUACUGGGCGUAAAGGGCGCGUAGGCGGCAAUUCAAGUCAUCUGUGAAAUCUCCGGGCUUAACUCGGAACGGUCAGAUGAUACUGCUUUGCUAGAGUGCAGAAGGGGCAAUCGGAAUUCUCGGUGUAGCGGUGAAAUGCGUAGAUAUCAAGAGGAACACCUGAGGUGAAGACGGGUUGCUGGGCUGACACUGACGCUGAGGCGCGAAAGCCAGGGGAGCAAACGGGAUUAGAUACCCCAGUAGUCCCUG
RNAcentral lists this ribosomal RNA (427 nucleotides) under uncultured bacterium. RNAcentral's name for it is "bacterial SSU rRNA". It matches the Rfam family "Bacterial small subunit ribosomal RNA", at positions 355 to 799 of the family's 1533-position model. The record is from RNAcentral.